RNAcentral lists this ribosomal RNA (253 nucleotides) under uncultured bacterium. Its description in RNAcentral is "partial 16S ribosomal RNA". It matches the Rfam family "Bacterial small subunit ribosomal RNA", at positions 524 to 776 of the family's 1533-position model. The record is from RNAcentral.
GACAGAGGGUGCAAACGUUGUUCGGAAUUACUGGGCGUAAAGCGCGUGUAGGCGGUCUCGCAAGUCAGAUGUGAAAGCCCAGGGCUCAACCCUGGAAGUGCACUCGAUACUGCGAGACUAGAGUCCCGGAGAGGAUGGUGGAACUCUCGGUGUAGAGGUGAAAUUCGUAGAUAUCGAGAAGAACACCGGUGGCGAAGGCGGCCAUCUGGACGGUGACUGACGCUGAGACGCGAAAGCGUGGGGAGCAAACAGG